Molecule: long non-coding RNA, 1078 nt
Organism: Apodemus sylvaticus (European woodmouse)
Lineage: Eukaryota; Metazoa; Chordata; Mammalia; Rodentia; Muridae
Exons: 2
Source: RefSeq, a predicted model, not a curated record
GUUCCGGUUUGGCUGGAGUUGGCUAAACGCAUGCGCAGUUAAAAAAAAAAAAAUCCCGGCUGACUAGCUUGAAGUGCAUCAAGCAAAAAACAGUGGUCUGACUGCUGGGAUCGACUCAGCCGAGAUUGGUUCUCCCCUGUAAUUCCUGCGCUCUUCCGAAGCAGGUGCUGAGACAGGAGGCUCGCCACGAGUUGAAGACAAACUGGAAUUGUUUAGAGACCCUGUCUCAAAAAGACUAGAGUCGAGUGUGGUGGUGCGCCUUCGCCUUAGUCCCUGCUUUGAAGAGUUUCUUCUUUUAGAAUGUGGUAAGCAAGAAACCCGUGAGACCAGUUAUACCUACAACAGAAAUCUAUCCAACAACACCUCCAGGAAAUAGCUUCCCGUGUACUAGAUGGUUAUGAAAACCUGUUUACAAAGUUUACAGCCUACAUUCAUAAUCAUGUAAUGAAAGACUCAUGUCCCAAUAUCAUGCUGUUUCAGUCCUGUAUAAACAGUCCUUCAAGCAGCUUUCGAGUCUAGAGUGAAGAUUCCCAAUGCAGAACAGAGCAACAGAAGUAACAAGAUUUGAUGGGGGACUCAGAGAAAGCUGCCUAAAGGUGGUAAAAUUUGAGCUGAAUCAUGAAAAAUUAAUAGAACACAGGCAGCCAAGUGUGAGGAAAGUAAUGGGAACAAUCAUUUGCCUCUAAAGGACAAUUCUUACAAGAAGGAUGGACAAAUGGUGACAAGCCACAAUCUCUAAGCCCGAGAGACUACACUAUAACAUAGACAUACUCUGAGAAGAUUGCCUCUGCACAGAGUAUGUACUCCCAAAAUGAGCUGGAGAGAUGGCUCAGCUGUUAGAGUGUUUCCUGCUAUUCCAAAGGACCUACACGGGGCUCAUCCAAUCACCUCUCAUUCAAACUCAAGGGGCCUCCGUGGGCCAGAACACCCUGAACCACCAUUGCCAAGACACUACUCUCUAUGUACACUUUGGACCUCCCUGUGACCCUCGAGUAAAGACAUCUGGUAGAGAAAAAUCCAGUCAAAUUUGUAUUUUAUGUUUUAAUGUCAUCCCCAAAUAAUUAACAUAAGCAAAGUA